UCGAACGAGGGUGCCUUUGUAGCAAUACGAGGGUAUCCUAGUGGCGAACGGGUGAGUAACGCGUUGGUGACCUACCCCAAAGUGUGGGAUACCAGUCCGAAAGGACUGCUAAUACCGCAUGUGGUCAUCGGGUUCAGAAACCGAUGUCGAAAGCAGUAAUGCGCUUUGGGAGGGACCUGCGUCCCAUCAGCUAGUUGGUAGGGUAACGGCCUACCAAGGCUACGACGGGUAGGGGACCUGAGAGGGUGACCCCCCACAAUGGAACUGAAAUACGGUCCAUACACCUACGGGUGGCAGCAGUAGGGAAUAUUGCACAAUGGACGAAAGUCUGAUGCAGCAACGCCGCGUGCACGAUGAAGGUCUUCGGAUCGUAAAGUGCUUUUCUGGGAGAUGAGAAAGGACAGUAUCCAAGGAAUAAGUCUCGGCUAACUACGUGCCAGCAGCCGCGGUAAAACGUAGGAGGCGAGCGUUAUCCGGAUUCACUGGGCGUAAAGCGUGUGCAGGCGGUUCGGUAAGUUGGGCGUGAAAUCUCCCGGCUUAACUGGGAGAGGUCGUUCAAUACUACCGGACUUGAGAGCAGUAGAGGAAGAUGGAAUUCCCGGUGUAGUGGUGAAAUGCGUAGAUAUCGGGAGGAACACCAGUGGCGAAGGCGAUCUUCUGGACUGUUUCUGACGCUCAUACACGAAAGCUAGGGUAGUAAACGGGAUUAGAGACCCCGGUAAUCCUAGCUGUAAACGAUGUGAACUUGGCGUCGGUGGCUUAAACACCAUC
RNAcentral lists this ribosomal RNA (771 nucleotides) under uncultured bacterium. Its description in RNAcentral is "bacterial SSU rRNA". It matches the Rfam family "Bacterial small subunit ribosomal RNA", at positions 62 to 841 of the family's 1533-position model. The record is from RNAcentral.